This 657-nucleotide ribosomal RNA is filed under the name uncultured bacterium. RNAcentral describes it as "bacterial SSU rRNA". It matches the Rfam family "Bacterial small subunit ribosomal RNA", at positions 34 to 718 of the family's 1533-position model. The record is from RNAcentral.
CGCUGGCGGCGUGGCUAAGACAUGCAAGUCGUACGGUGUAGCAAUACACAGUGGCGAACGGGAGAGUAAUGAAUCGCUAAUGUGCCCCGGACUCUGGGAUAGCCAGUUGAAAGAUUGGGUAAUACCAGAUGAUAUAUCUUUAUCGCAUGAUAGAGAUCUCAAAGGUCCGCCGGUCUGGGAGCAGGCGAUUUCGUAUCAGCUAGUUGGUAAGGUAACGGCUUACCAAGGCGACGACGCGUAGCCGGACUGAGAGGUUGGCCGGCCUCAUUGGGACUGAGACACUGCCCAGACUCCUACGGGGGGCUGCAGUAACGAAUCUUCCGCAAUGCACGAAAGUGUGACGGAGCGACGCCGCGUGUGGGACGAAGCCCUUCGGGGUGUAAACCACUGUCAGGGGAUAGAAAGUUCUGAUCAUCCCCAGAGGAAGGCACGGCUAACUCUGUGCCAGCAGCCGCGGUAAGACAGAGGUGCCAAGCGUUAGGCGGAAUCACUGGGCUUAAAGCGUGUGUAGGCGGAUGCCUAAGUACCUUGUGAAAUCCCACGGCUCAACCGUGGAACUGCUCGGUAUACUGGGUGUCUUGAGCUGUCUAGGGGCUACCGGAACAAAUGGUGGAGCGGUGAAAAUGCGUAAGAUAUCAUUUGGAACGCCAAUGGUGA